This 259-nucleotide ribosomal RNA is filed under the name uncultured archaeon. RNAcentral describes it as "partial 16S ribosomal RNA". It matches the Rfam family "Archaeal small subunit ribosomal RNA", at positions 748 to 1006 of the family's 1478-position model. The record is from RNAcentral.
UAGCCGUAAACGAUACUCGCUAGGUGUCGGCCACGGUGCGACCGUUGUCGGUGCCGUAGGGAAGCCGUGAAGCGAGCCACCUGGGAAGUACGGCCGCAAGGCUGAAACUUAAAGGAAUUGGGCGGGGGAGCACCACAACGGGUGGAGCUUGCGGUUUAAUUGGAUUCAACGCCGGAAAUCUUACCGGGACCGACAGCAACAUGAAGGCCAGGCUGAAGACUUUGCCGGAUUAGCUGAGAGGUGGUGCAUGGCGUAGUCG